AUAUCAAUAAGCGGAGGAAAAGAAACCAACAGGGAUUGCCUCAGUAACGGCGAGUGAAGCGGCAACAGCUCAAAUUUGAAAUCUGGCUCUUUUCAGGGGUCCGAGUUGUAAUUUGUAGAAGGAUGCUUCGGCGUCGGCUCCGGUCUGAGUUCCUUGGAACAGGACGUCAUAGAGGGUGAGAAUCCCGUAUGUGAUCGUUGCAGCCUUUCGCCAUGUGAAGCUCUUCGACGAGUCGAGUUGUUUGGGAAUGCAGCUCUAAAAUGGGUGGUAAAUUUCAUUCUAAAGCUAAAUAUCGGCCAGAGACCGAUAGCGCACAAGUAGAGUGAUCGAAAGAUGAAAAGCACUUUGGAAAGAGAGUCAAAACAGUAC
Molecule: ribosomal RNA, 369 nt
Filed under: uncultured fungus
Lineage: Eukaryota; Fungi
Description: eukaryotic LSU rRNA
Rfam family: Eukaryotic large subunit ribosomal RNA
Source: RNAcentral